CACUCCUACGGGAGGCAGCAGUGGGGAAUAUUGGACAAUGGGGGAACCCUGAUCCAGCCAUGCCGCGUGUGUGAAGAAGGCCUUAUGGUUGUAAAGCACUUUAAGCGAGGAGGAGGCUACUAGUAUUAAUACUACUGGAUAGUGGACGUUACUCGCAGAAUAAGCACCGGCUAACUCUGUGCCAGCAGCCGCGGUAAUACAGAGGGUGCGAGCGUUAAUCGGAUUUACUGGGCGUAAAGCGUGCGUAGGCGGCCAUUUAAGUCAAAUGUGAAAU
This 274-nucleotide ribosomal RNA is filed under the name uncultured bacterium. Its description in RNAcentral is "partial 16S ribosomal RNA". It matches the Rfam family "Bacterial small subunit ribosomal RNA", at positions 334 to 600 of the family's 1533-position model. The record is from RNAcentral.